UACGUAGGGUGCAAGCGUUGUCCGGAAUUAUUGGGCGUAAAGGGCGCGUAGGCGGCCUGGCAAGUGGAAGGUGAAAUCCCUCGGCUUAACCGAGGAACUGCCCUCCAAACUGCUUGGCUUGAGACCGGGAGAGGUGAGUGGAAUUCCCAGUGUAGCGGUGAAAUGCGUAGAUAUUGGGAGGAACACCAGUGGCGAAGGCGGCUCACUGGACCGGUACUGACGCUGAGGCGCGAAAGCGUGGGGAGCGAACAGG
RNAcentral lists this ribosomal RNA (253 nucleotides) under uncultured bacterium. RNAcentral's name for it is "partial 16S ribosomal RNA". It matches the Rfam family "Bacterial small subunit ribosomal RNA", at positions 524 to 776 of the family's 1533-position model. The record is from RNAcentral.